RNAcentral lists this ribosomal RNA (325 nucleotides) under uncultured bacterium. Its description in RNAcentral is "bacterial SSU rRNA". It matches the Rfam family "Bacterial small subunit ribosomal RNA", at positions 28 to 334 of the family's 1533-position model. The record is from RNAcentral.
GAUGAACGCUGGCGGCGUGCUUAACACAUGCAAGUCGAACGGAGUGCCAAUGACAGAGGAUUCGUCCAAUGGAUUUGGUUACUUAGUGGCGGACGGGUGAGUAACGCGUGAGGAACCUGCCUCGGAGCGGGGAAUAACACAGUGAAAAUUGUGCUAAUACCGCAUAAUGCAGUUGGGUCGCAUGGCUCUGACUGCCAAAGAUUUAUCGCUCUGAGAUGGCCUCGCGUCUGAUUAGCUAGUUGGCGGGGUAACGGCCCACCAAGGCGACGAUCAGUAGCCGGACUGAGAGGUUGGCCGGCCACAUUGGGACUGAGACACGGCCCAG